AAAUCACGCGCCGACCGAGGGGCGUUGCCGUGUAUCCUGAGAAUCGAUUCGCAAGAAGAUGGACGCUAGAAAAGAGCAAAUUGCAAUGAGCAAUGAGCAAAUAAUAUUGUAGAUAUAAAUGUUAUCUAAUCUUAUCUGAUCUAAUUAUUAUAUAAAAACUUGGAAUUGUUUUUUUUAAGAGCGGCAGAGAGUAAAGAUUACAGAUAAAAUCUAUGUUGAGGCAAUGAGCUUUUUCAUUGACUGGAGAAGUGGUUUGGCAAUUUAUAAACAUGGUAAAAUUAAUGUUUCAAUUAUGUAUAUGUAUGUAUAUGUAAUAUAUGUAUAUGUAUUUAUUAUGAAUGUAUAAAAAGAACGGCGGCAGUGCCCGUACCGAACCGAUAAAGAGGUAAAGUGCAUUACAGCAGAAGGCAAAUGAGCAAGUUUCACAAAAUAAAGAUUUAAACAGUUGUGCUUGCUCUCUAUUGAGAGAGGGGAACAUAGCACAAAGGGGAAUGUAAAAUCUAUUGCUGAACAGAGCAAUGUGUAAGAGUAAUAAAAUAAAAUACCUUAAAUUUAUGAUGAGCUGCUACUGGCUGCGGGAUGCAUAACCAAACAUCCUCCCGCCGUUGGAGGAUACGGGCUGACAACAUCAUCCUGUUUGGGUAGAACGCAAAGUUGAGCGACGGCUCUAUUCAUCAGCGGCCAAAAAGGCAGGACCAACAGCUCGGUAAAAAUGAUACUUUGCUGUUUUGACAGCCGCCUUCCAGAGGACUCCAAAAUGCGGCGAUCGAGGAGGGAUGAACCGCCAUUCAAUGCUAUCAGUCAAGCAGAAUUCAUGUACUGCAGUUUGAUUGUGAUGUGUUCAGGAACAAACGCUUAAGAUUCUUCGAUGCAGGAGUGGAGAGAUCCUGAACCAGCUCAAGGUGAACAGCCUUUGUAGAAAAGCAGGUAAAGAUGCAGAUAUAGCACUUGAUCGGUGCUUUGUUCCGAACAGGAUUUUAAUAAAAUGGAUCGCAAAAGUACAGACCAGUGACAUUGAAGGAAUGUGAAGCUGUUACGCGGUCCUCAGAAAGAUCACCCAUAAUGUGACAAGCUAUAUGUUGCUUGGCUCGAAGGCAUAUGAUGUAUUUGCUGAAUGCACUUGCAGUUGUCUUGCGACCGUCAAUUGGCCAGAACUGCAGUCGAAUGGAAGCGAGUAGUGCGCGAGGUCCAGAAUGCAGAUUGCGACGAUGAUAGUCGAGUAUAAUGGCACGAGUGACUGGGUGCUGACGUG
Molecule: long non-coding RNA, 1252 nt
Filed under: Drosophila melanogaster (fruit fly)
Lineage: Eukaryota; Metazoa; Arthropoda; Insecta; Diptera; Drosophilidae
Description: long non-coding RNA:CR46489 (Dmel_CR46489)
Source: RNAcentral